RNAcentral lists this ribosomal RNA (279 nucleotides) under uncultured bacterium. RNAcentral's name for it is "partial 16S ribosomal RNA". It matches the Rfam family "Bacterial small subunit ribosomal RNA", at positions 506 to 784 of the family's 1533-position model. The record is from RNAcentral.
UGCCAGCCGCCGCGGUAAUACGGAGGGAGCGAACGUUGUUCGGAUUUACUGGGCGUAAAGGGCGCGUAGGCGGUUUUGCAAGUCAGGGGUGAAAUGUCUCGGCUCAACCGAGGACCUGCCUCUGAAACUGCAGAACUUGAGUUCGUGAGAGGAGACUGGAAUUCCUAGUGUAGCGGUGAAAUGCAUAGAUAUUAGGAAGAACACCAGUGGCGAAGGCGAGUCUCUGGCACGACACUGACGCUGAGGCGCGAAAGCUAGGGGAGCGAACGGGAUUAGAUA